UACGGAGGAUGCGAGCGUUAUCCGGAUUUAUUGGGUUUAAAGGGUGCGUAGGCGGAUCGUUAAGUCAGUGGUCAAAUUGAGGGGCUCAACCCCUUCCCGCCAUUGAAACUGGCGAUCUUGAGUGGAAGAGAAGUAUGCGGAAUGCGUGGUGUAGCGGUGAAGUGCAUAGAUAUCACGCAGAACCCCGAUUGCGAAGGCAGCAUGCCGGCUUCCGACUGACGCUGAAGCACGAAAGCGUGGGGAUCGAACAGG
This 252-nucleotide ribosomal RNA is filed under the name uncultured bacterium. RNAcentral describes it as "partial 16S ribosomal RNA". It matches the Rfam family "Bacterial small subunit ribosomal RNA", at positions 524 to 776 of the family's 1533-position model. The record is from RNAcentral.